Molecule: ribosomal RNA, 266 nt
Filed under: uncultured archaeon
Lineage: Archaea
Description: partial 16S ribosomal RNA
Rfam family: Archaeal small subunit ribosomal RNA
Source: RNAcentral
ACACGUCUACAUUAGAUACCCGUGUACGUCCCAGCCGUAAACUAUGCGCGUUAGGUGUAUCGGUGACCACGAGUCACCGAGGUGCCGAAGGGAAACCGUGAAACGUGCCGCCUGGGAAGUACGGUCGCAAGGCUAGAAACUUAAAGGAAUUGGCGGGGAGCACCACAACGGGUGGAGCCUGCGGUUUAAUUGGACUCAACGCCGGGAAGCUCACCGGAUAAGACAGCGGAAUGAUUGCCGGGCUGAAGACUCUGCAUGACUAGCUG